GACGGGAGCUGGUUCGGGCUCCCUCCGAGAAGCCUCUGAUCCUCGCCCAGCGCUCCGCCCAGGGUGACUGUCACGUUCACAGCAGCCACACCACCCUGCUCCCCGGAGCCCCGAAGCCACUUGAGAGGUGACACUCAGGCCACAAAAUGUCCAGAGCAAGGCUUCAGAAAGAGCGUCUGUCUGUGUCUGUCUGUCUGGGUCUCAGCUAGAAACCCACCCAUCACUGCUCUAAACAGUCUCCUGUGCUCACCUGGCGGCCUCACCACCACUCCUGGGACCUGAGUAGUAGACUGGAGGGAGUCACACUGCCGAGUCACAUGUGUGGUGUAAAAGUGAAUGGAAUAAAUGCUACGUCCGUCUUUGCACGGUUCUCCUGGAGACAGCUGAGAGUUCGCCUUCUUACUGGCAGCACCCUGGGGAGCAGGGAGGUGGAGACGUGCGGUGAGGUCCACACCGGCGGGGGAGAGACGGAAACGGAGCUGGUGGACUGGAGGUCUAGCGCUGAGCUGUGUCCUUGGCAGCCAGUGUGUUUCACACCUGUGCUGACCCCUGCACGCGCGUGUGUACACACACCCUACACGUCUCCCCGGAUUCUCUUUCCGGCCACUGCAGACAGGCUGUGCUGG
This is a long non-coding RNA of Fukomys damarensis (Damara mole-rat), 626 nucleotides long. RefSeq lists it as uncharacterized. Lineage: Eukaryota; Metazoa; Chordata; Mammalia; Rodentia; Bathyergidae. The record is from RefSeq and is a predicted model, not a curated record. The transcript has 3 exons.